RNAcentral lists this ribosomal RNA (253 nucleotides) under uncultured bacterium. RNAcentral's name for it is "partial 16S ribosomal RNA". It matches the Rfam family "Bacterial small subunit ribosomal RNA", at positions 524 to 776 of the family's 1533-position model. RNAcentral also lists the same sequence under 1 other name. The record is from RNAcentral.
UACGAAGGGGGCUAGCGUUGUUCGGAAUCACUGGGCGUAAAGCGCACGUAGGCGGACUUUUAAGUCAGGGGUGAAAUCCUGAGGCUCAACCUCAGAACUGCCUUUGAUACUGGGAGUCUUGAAUUCGAGAGAGGUAAGUGGAAUUGGUAGUGUAGAGGUGAAAUUCGUAGAUAUUACCAGGAACACCAGUGGCGAAGGCGGCUUACUGGCUCGAUAUUGACGCUGAGGUGCGAAAGCGUGGGGAUCAAACAGG